This is an RNA transcript of Mangifera indica (mango), 2465 nucleotides long. It is a transcript of the gene named vacuolar-sorting protein BRO1-like, with no coding region annotated. The transcript has 3 exons. The record is from RefSeq and is a predicted model, not a curated record. Lineage: Eukaryota; Viridiplantae; Streptophyta; Magnoliopsida; Sapindales; Anacardiaceae.
AAAGUCGAAGGAAAGAACGGUGGCUUCUGCAGAUGAUGUGUGCCUCUCUCUAAGGUUUUCGUUUCUCUGACUAAAAGGGGUUCUUGGGCUUUCAUGUGCUGCUUCAAUCCGGCAUGAUUUUAACGGCAAUGAUGCGGUUGUCGAGACAGUUAUUAACGAGGAGAUCAACGGUGAGCUUUGAUGGAGGUAUCGUUUUCAAUUGAUAAUCGGAUGGUUUAGAUUACUUUUGCCAGCUGUAGUUAGUUAUAGUUCAGUGUAUAAAAGAUGUAAUUUGUCACAAUUAUUGUAUGAUUUUUGAGGCUAUUGAAUGAAACUUAAGGUAUUAUUCGUUCUUCUUCUCUCUGUAUUGUCUUGAGUGCUUAUGUUGAUGAUAACAGUUUUGUUUUUAGGGUUCUUGGUGUUUGAUAGUUAAUUAUGCUUUCUCUGUGAUUCUGAUUGCUUAAAGUAGUUUAAUGGAUUCUCGGAGAAGUUCUUUUUGGUAUAUCUGUUGCUGGAGGUGUUGAAUUAGGUCCUCUGGAUUCUUGAGGACCACAUCAAUAUGAUCACGCUUUUGUGGCACGAUGCAUUUAAGACCAAGCAAAGGGCCAGUCAGCAGAACAUUCAUCUGGAGAAGGCGGCAGUGUUGUUUAAUUUGGGGGCAGUGUACAGUCAGAUUGGGUUGUCCUUUGAUCACGCCAUCAUGGAGGGGCGGCGGGAGGCAUCACGUGCAUUCAUUGUGGCAGCCGGAGCCUUUCCUUAUUUGAGAGAUAAUGUGUCCACAAAGGUGAGUAUGGGGAGCUCCAUGAUGCUGUAUAUCAGCCUCAUGUGCGCCAGAAUGUUGGAGAGAUUGAUGCUGGCCCAAGCUCAAGGGUGUGUGUUUGAGAAUAUGAUUGCUAAAGGGAGUACGCCUGGUGUUUGCACUAAAAUUUCUAGACAAGUUAGUGCUUUUUUUGAAGCUUUGAUUGAUUUAUUAAUUAAUCAAUUUAGUAAAUGUUUUUAUAUAUUGAAUUGUGAUGAAUUGAAAAACUAUUUCACAUAAGUUUAGAUUGUGUAAAUAUAUAGGUUUUACAGUGUUUAACUUUUAGGAUAUUAAAUAUAUAAAGACUGCAUAUAUAUUUGGAUUUUGUAGUGCAUGAUUUGUGAGGUUUAAGGUUAUGUUAUCUUAUUGAUCUGUCUGUUUUAAUAAUAAAAUUCGAGCAAUAUUAGUAGUGUAAGCUUCACUUGAACUGUGAUUAGUACGGUUAUGAAGGUGACUAGAGUUUUGAUGGUGAGUUUGUUGAUUUAAGAAUGAAAUUUUUUUAGGAAAGGUGAGGGAUAGUGUUGUUGGGAUUUUCCGGUGUGAUUUUGAUGUAAAAGCCAUUUUUUUUAUACUGUCUGUUACUGACAUAUCAGGCGUCAUUCUUGCCGGUAAGUAGUUCUUCUUCCUAAUUUGUUAAUUAUAUGCAAUUCUUACAUAUAUCGUAGUUAUCUGUCUUAAUCUUGAAAAAGUGAUUAAGUUGCUUCAUUCUGAUGUUUUAUCGGCCUGCUGACAUUUAUAAUUGCAGAGCACGUUUUAAUAUACGUGGAUCCCGAGUCAAGUCAUGCUGUUGUUGGUUGGGCUGCAAAAACCUUUUCAACAGCAGUGUUUUUCAUAUAUGAGCAGGUGGAAGCCGGGGCUCAGUUGCAGAGCACUUAGGAGGUAGCAGAGAGGGUGCUUUAGGCUGCUUAUCGAAGACAGCCACAGGCGUUGGAGAUUCUGCAAAUUUCUCAUCGUUGUUGGAAUAAAUCUGUUCAAGUCAUUUUGCGAAAGAUCUAACUGUAUCAAACUAUGCAAGUUACCCACCUCGGUAGGAAUGCUGCCAUUGAUCUUGCAAUUGCUUGCAGAAAAAAUCUCAAGAGUUGCAGAUAAAUUGCCGAUUGAAUGUGGGAUGACGCCAUACAGUGGAUUAUUAUCAAAGAUUAGAGCCUUUAGUUUCCUGCAAUUUGUCAAAGAAGACAGAAAGCUCCAUUCUGCAGUUGGUGAUUCAGUGGUGAUGUUAUUGGACCCAAGAUGAAGCACUUCGAGGAAUUUCAAGUUGCAAAAUGUAUUUGGAACAAGCCCAGAAAAUGAGUUAAAGGACAAAUCUAGCUUAACGAGGUUGGAAGCAUUGGUGAUGGAGGUGGGGAUAGUUCCAGUAAGUUCAUUUGCCCCUAAGUAAAGACCCUUCAAGUUGGGAACCCCAUGGCCAAUGGUUGAUGGUAGAUAGCCUGAAAGGUUAUUCCCAGGUAGACUAAUCCUAAUUAUGGUUGAAAUAUUGAAGAUUGAAGCUGGAAUUACACCACUUAAGCUGUUGAGACCCAGAAAUAGAUGUAGAAGAUUUUGCAAAUUGCCUAUCUCCUCUGGAAUUUCACCUGCUAAAAGGCAAACAUCUAAGUAACCGGGAAACUGAAAUAUUGAAACGUCUCAAAGAUAUGGGAAAGAGAAGCGCAUAAAUAUUAAAAUAUAAUGGUUAUAUAUAUUUUGAUUA